RNAcentral lists this ribosomal RNA (499 nucleotides) under uncultured bacterium. RNAcentral's name for it is "partial 16S ribosomal RNA". It matches the Rfam family "Bacterial small subunit ribosomal RNA", at positions 30 to 523 of the family's 1533-position model. The record is from RNAcentral.
AUUGAACGCUGGCGGAAUGCUUUACACAUGCAAGUCGAACGGCAGCACGGACUUUGGUCUGGUGGCGAGUGGCGAACGGGUGAGUAAUGUAUCGGAACGUGCCCAGUCGUGGGGGAUAACGUAGUGAUAAUUACGCUAAUACCGCAUACGAUCUAUGGAUGAAAGCGGGGGAUCGCAAGACCUCGCGCGAUUGGAGCGGCCGAUAUCAGAUUAGGUAGUUGGUGGGGUAAAGGCCCACCAAGCCAACGAUCUGUAGCUGGUCUGAGAGGACGACCAGCCACACUGGAACGGAGACACGGUCCAGACUCCUACGGGAGGCAGCAGUGGGGAAUUUUGGAAAAUGGGCGAAAGCCUGAGCCAGCCAUUCCGCGUGCAGGAUGAAGGCCCUCGGGUUGUAAACUGCUUUUGUACAGAACGAAAAGGUUUCUACUAAUACUAGGAGCUCAUGACGGUACUGUAAGAAUAAGCACCGGCUACUACGUGCCAGCCGCCGCAGUAA